UGGACCGGUGGCAGUCUUUCC
Molecule: non-coding RNA, 21 nt
Filed under: Arabidopsis thaliana (thale cress)
Lineage: Eukaryota; Viridiplantae; Streptophyta; Magnoliopsida; Brassicales; Brassicaceae
Source: RNAcentral